Molecule: unclassified non-coding RNA, 789 nt
Filed under: Leishmania donovani
Lineage: Eukaryota; Euglenozoa; Kinetoplastea; Trypanosomatida; Trypanosomatidae
Description: gene:unknown
Source: RNAcentral
CUCAUUCUUCCACCUGAUGAGCUCCUCUGCUGGCGCGUCAUGCGCCUCUCGAUCGUUUUCGGCCCUCCCACUCUCCUCCCUCCGCGCGUGCACAGCCGUACACACACGCACGUUGACCAUGUGAAAAUCAAACGAGGAGGGGAGCGCAGCGAGAGACCGACCGGCCGGCGCAGAGGUCACAGCUGUGUUUUGUUGGAUGCUAUUUUGCCCCGGCGUCUCGUCCUCCUCUCUGUCCUCUGCGCGUGUUCUUGUCUUUGCGAUUGCCGUGUGCUAUUCUUAUUUUCUCUGAGCGUUUGCCGCCAGAACGGAAGACGGAGGGCUCACCGAAAGGCGACAGGAGCUCAUACAUGCACGCACACACACCUACACACACACACACACACACUCCGCACCAUUCUGACGUGCAUGCAACACCAAGCACUCAUCUUUUACCCGCUUUCUUCUUCUGCACAUACCCUCUCUCGCGGAAUCAAGUCGUCGUAAGGGUUUGCUUCAACCACGCCGCACUCCCUCUUGGAGUGGCAGCCAGGCCUGCCGAUUCCUGGGUAGCUUUACCCGAUGAGGACUUACAGGCAACAGAAGUCUCGUGGAUCGCUCUGCCAGCGCCAGGGGGGGGGUAUCGAGGGCGCGAAUAAAGAGCUGCAAAGUCGGCAUGCGCUUCCACGGAAAGAGGCAACUCGCCCCGUGAGGCGGAGUUGGGAACAUGCGUUGGAAUGCAUCAUCCUUCCAACCGUUCGACAUCCUUCUCUUUCUUGUAUUAUUGUGCGUUGCCCAUGAGGCGUGCUUCAG